CAAUAUUGCUUUCGUUUUAUGUCAGAUUUAGAAAACAAAAUUUUGAUUUUAUUUCAUAGUUUGAGAUUGGGCUUUGGAUUGAUGUAAGAAGUUUAUCAUCAACCAAAUUAGAAACUUGAAUUUAGAAAGCUACAACGCCUAAAAUGUUUGGUUUUCCCAAUCUUUUGAUUCAAAAAGUUCUCUUUUGCUGAUCGCUACUUCUUGAAUCCAAAGAUUGGUUUCAAGCGCUCAAACUCUCUGUUAAGGUACAGAAUAAGGAUAAUGGAGGUUUAGGAUUGAAGGAUCUGUCUUUGCUUAACUUAGCAUUGAAAUUGGCUUGGAGACCUUUAUGUAGGUGAAGAUCUGAAUUCAACUUGUGGUCAGAUCCAUGAGUUCCAGACAAACCUCUUUAUGUCAUGGACUCAUGGCACCUUUAACUAUGCAAGUGCUUUGGUCAUUUGGCAGCACAAAACCAUUAACUCUGUAUUGAUUACAUGGAAUAUAAUACACUGUAUGUCAACGCAGCCUGCAGGUAUAGGUUGCAUAGUUGGUGCCUCUUCAGUUCAAGUGGUUAAACUUUUGGGUGACAAUUUCGGAGGUUUGGGUUUUACUGAUAUCAUUAAAAAUUGUAGGUUACUGAUGAUAUCUCCAAAUUGUUCCAAUUUCUAAAUCUUAAGUUGUUAAACAAUGCAGCAGAAAAUAUCAAAUAAGCAGAAAAAUUAAAAACCCACAUUCAAUCCCUAAUUUAACAGCAAACAAACAAACAAACAAAAAAACCCUAAACCAAUAAAAUAAAAUUGAAAAAGAGUUAGGCUUUCAGAAAGAUUAUAUCAUCAUUAAGCUUGAGAAGUAGAGAAAAAAAAGAGAGAAAAGAGAUGGGGUUGGAAGAGAAAGUGUGUCGAAGAGAGAAGAAGAAGAUUCGAGCAGCAUUUUUAGAUUCAGAUUGAAAACUAAUAACCAUCACAAUCCUCUCAACCAACCAAAGAGAAGGAGGAUUUACUCUGUUUUCUUUUCCACAUGUUUGCCGCUUCCAGAAUCUUCUUUCUUGUUUUUCCCUUUCAUCUUCUUCCUCCAAUUUCUUUCCUCCAACAUCCAAUCCCUUUCUCUACUGUCUGUUUGCUGGACGCACAACCAUAAGUAUUAAGUACUGUAAUUCUCUCUUAACAAACCAUAGCCCAUAUAAGAUGAUCCA
This 1171-nucleotide long non-coding RNA is filed under the name Aquilegia coerulea. RNAcentral describes it as "long non-coding RNA (ACOE_LNC000030)". The record is from RNAcentral. Lineage: Eukaryota; Viridiplantae; Streptophyta; Magnoliopsida; Ranunculales; Ranunculaceae.